CUGCCACAACCAUAUUCAUCGGGAUAGAGAUGGCAAUGAGUUUCUAGUCUACCUGCCACCAAGAAGAGAGAUACAAAAACGCAACAGCCGGUAUGGAACCUGUAAGAGAACUGCAUACUGCAGUAGAUCACGCCAAGGCGAUAUAAAUGCCACUAGAGGUCGCAAAGGUAGAACAAAAUGAAACUAAGUCCAUCGGUACAUCACCA
RNAcentral lists this long non-coding RNA (206 nucleotides) under Brassica napus (rape). RNAcentral describes it as "long non-coding RNA (BNAP_LNC027192)". The record is from RNAcentral. Lineage: Eukaryota; Viridiplantae; Streptophyta; Magnoliopsida; Brassicales; Brassicaceae.